Coffea eugenioides is the source of this 499-nucleotide long non-coding RNA. RefSeq lists it as uncharacterized. The record is from RefSeq and is a predicted model, not a curated record. The transcript has 2 exons. NCBI's taxonomy places the organism in Eukaryota, Viridiplantae, Streptophyta, Magnoliopsida, Gentianales, Rubiaceae.
CUGAAGGGAAAUGUCAAUUUGGCAACUGCACCUGAACCUCAAGGCAGAGUUGGUAGUUGUGACUUUGAGAGCUGAAUCGUGCAAUAUCUGGCAGUCAUGGGAUUCGAUGAGGACUUUGAGAGCUACAGGUGUGCACCUGUUUCACCAAAGAGUUCAGCUUUUGGAAGGAACUGAGCCAUGGUGUAGAGAUAACCAAGUGAAAUAGCACUUGCACUGCUGCUCAUAGCUUGUAGAAAGGCCAGACUUGACAGAUUCAAAUUUUCGGACGGCAUUCAUUAAAAGUUUUUGCUGACCUAUAUAUGUAGAAAGUGGGAGAAAAAUAUAUCCCCAGAGGUGGCUUGAUCUUUAUGUUAGAAAUAUAUUAAAAUUCAAGUUUGUAGCUUCUUAACUAAACAUAGAAGGACGGCUGUCACAAUGGGUAGGACUAGCAUUGAAUUUUCUCUUACCUGACAUGAAUACCAUGCCAAUAUUAUCAAUCAAACUUGAGUUAAGGUUGUUA